Non-coding RNA from Candoia aspera, 468 nucleotides. Lineage: Eukaryota; Metazoa; Chordata; Lepidosauria; Squamata; Candoiidae. The record is from the annotation of a RefSeq genome assembly.
AUGAUCCCAUGGCUAAACGUCUUCUCCUUAUUAGUAGUCCUCCAAGGAGUUCAGUCUGAGAUCCAGUUGGUGGAGUCCGGAGGGGAUGUGAGGAGGCCUGGAGAGUCCCUCCGUCUCUCCUGCCAAGCCUCUGGAUUUGACUUCGGCAGCUACUACAUGGGCUGGGUCAGACAGGCUCCAGGGAAAGGCCUGGAAUGGGUGUCCAGCAUAGAUCCAGAGAUGCUUGACUCUACCACUUACUACUCAGACAAAGUCAAGGGACGCUUCACCGUCUCCAGGGACGAUUCCCGCAGCCAGCUGUAUCUGCAAAUGAGCAGCCUGAAGCCAGAGGACUCGGCUGUCUAUUAUUGUGCAAGACACACAGUGGGAGGAAGUGAGUCUGAAGCCUGGCAAAAACGGUCCCUUCCUCAGUUCAGCUCUCCAGGUUCAUUCAGUCACAGGAGUUCGAAUGUGCGUAUUGCGACUUAA